UGAGGGUUGAGUGGGGUUUGGGUAAGAUGGGGGAUGGUGUCCGGCCCAAUCCAUAAAGAUAUUUUUUUUGUUUAAUUAAUUUCAGAAAUAAUUUCCUGUGUAAUGAUAAAUCCAGAAAAGUCUAGAUAAAUCAUUUGAACCACGAAAAAUACUCUAAAAUCUAAAAAAUUCCAGGAAAAUUUCCUAGAGAUAGAUUGGGACACGAUGAGUCCAAAUAAACCAUUUGGAGCUCGUACAAAAAAAAAU
Molecule: long non-coding RNA, 246 nt
Filed under: Setaria viridis
Lineage: Eukaryota; Viridiplantae; Streptophyta; Magnoliopsida; Poales; Poaceae
Description: long non-coding RNA (SVIR_LNC001996)
Source: RNAcentral